RNAcentral lists this non-coding RNA (21 nucleotides) under Caenorhabditis elegans. Lineage: Eukaryota; Metazoa; Nematoda; Chromadorea; Rhabditida; Rhabditidae. The record is from RNAcentral.
UCCUUCAAAGAAUUUACCCGG